UAGGGAAUCUUCGGCAAUGGGGGGAACCCUGACCGAGCAACGCCGCGUGAGUGAAGAAGGUUUUCGGAUCGUAAAGCUCUGUUGUUAAGGAAGAACGAGUGUGAGAAUGGAAAGUUAAUACUGUGAUGGUACUUAACCAGAAAGGGACGGCUAACUACGUGCCAGCAGCCGCGGUAAUACGUAGGUCCCGAGCGUUGUCCGGAUUUAUUGGGCGUAAAGCGAGCGCAGGCGGUUAGAUAAGUCUGAAGUUAAAGGCAGUGGCUCAACCAUUGUAGUCUUUGGAAACUGUUUAACUUGAGUGGAGAAGGGGAGGGUGGAAUUCCAUGUGUAGCGGUGAAAUGCGUAGAUAUAUGGAGGAACACCGGUGGCGAAAGCGGCUCUCUGGUCUGUAACUGACGCUGAGGCUCGAAAGCGUGGGGAGCGAACAGA
Molecule: ribosomal RNA, 429 nt
Filed under: Bacteroidota bacterium
Lineage: Bacteria; Pseudomonadati; Bacteroidota
Description: Bacteroidetes bacterium partial 16S ribosomal RNA
Rfam family: Bacterial small subunit ribosomal RNA
Source: RNAcentral